AGGCAGCAGUGGGAAAUAUUGCACAAUGGGGGGAACCCUGAUGCAGCAACGCCGCGUGAAGGAAGACGGUUUUCGGAUUGUAAACUUCUAUCAAUAGGGAAGAAAGAAAUGACGGUACCUAAAUAAGAAGCCCCGGCUAACUACGUGCCAGCAGCCGCGGUAAUACGUAGGGGGCAAGCGUUAUCCGGAAUUACUGGGUGUAAAGGGAGAGUAGGCGGCAAGGUAAGCGAUAUGUGAAAGCCUUAGGCUUAACCUGAGGAUUGCAUAACGAACUAUCUAGCUAGAGUACAGGAGAGGAAAGCGGAAUUCCUAGUGUAGCGGUGAAAUGCGUAGAUAUUAGGAAGAACACCAGUGGCGAAGGCGGCUUUCUGGACUGAAACUGACGCUGAGGCUCGAAAGCGUGGGGAGCGAACAGGAUUAGAUACCCUGGUAGUCCACGCUGUAAACGAUGAGUGCUAGGUGUCGGGGAGGAAUCCUCG
Molecule: ribosomal RNA, 479 nt
Filed under: uncultured bacterium
Lineage: Bacteria
Description: bacterial SSU rRNA
Rfam family: Bacterial small subunit ribosomal RNA
Source: RNAcentral